Unclassified non-coding RNA from Cyprinus carpio carpio, 299 nucleotides. It matches the Rfam family "Metazoan signal recognition particle RNA". From Rfam's summary of the family: The signal recognition particle (SRP) is a universally conserved ribonucleoprotein. Lineage: Eukaryota; Metazoa; Chordata; Actinopteri; Cypriniformes; Cyprinidae. The record is from Ensembl.
GCCGGGUGCAGUGGCGCGCGCCUGUAAUCCAAGCUGCUGGGAGGCUGAGGCUGGCGGAUCGCUUGAGUUCAGGGGUUCUGGGCUGCAGUGGACUAUGUCGAUCGGGUGUCCGCGCUAAGUUCGGUAUCGAUAUGGUGCUCCUGGGGGAGCUCGGGACCACCAGGUCGUCUAAGGAGGGGUGAACCGGCCCAGGUCGGAGACGGAGCAGGUCAAAGCCCCCGUGCCGAUCAGUAGUGGGGUCGCACCUGUGAAUAGACACUGCAGUGCAGCCUGAGCGAUACAGCGAGACUUAGUCUUGU